Molecule: ribosomal RNA, 948 nt
Filed under: uncultured archaeon
Lineage: Archaea
Description: bacterial SSU rRNA
Rfam family: Archaeal small subunit ribosomal RNA
Source: RNAcentral
CUAAGCCAUGCGAGUCGAGAGGUGCAAGACCUCGGCAUACUGCUCAGUAACACGUGGACAACCUAACCUAUGGAGGGGGAUAACCCCGGGAAACUGGGGAUAAUACCCCAUAGACUAUGGAUGCUGGAAUGCUCUGUAGUUGAAAGGUCCGCCGCCAUAGGAUGGGUCUGCGGCCGAUUAGGUUGUUGUUGGGGUAACGGCCCAACAAGCCUGUAAUCGGUACGGGUUGUGGGAGCAAGAGCCCGGAGAUGGAUUCUGAGACACGAAUCCAGGCCCUACGGGGCGCAGCAGGCGCGAAAACUUUACAAUGCGGGAAACCGUGAUAAGGGAACUCCGAGUGCCCGUAAAAUCGGGCUGUCCAUCUGUUUAAAUAACAGGUGAAGAAAGGGCCGGGCAAGACCGGUGCCAGCCGCCGCGGUAAUACCGGCGGCUCGAGUGGUGGCCACUAUUACUGGGCUUAAAGCGUUCGUAGCUGGUUUGUUAAGUCUCUGGGGAAAUCUGCCGGCUCAACCGGCAGGCGUUCCAGGGAUACUGGCAGACUAGGGACCGGGAGAGGUGAGGGGUACUCCAGGGGUAGGAGUGAAAUCCUGUAAUCCUUGGGGGACCACCUGUGGCGAAGGCGCCUCACCAGAACGGCUCCGACAGUGAGGGACGAAAGCUGGGGGAGCAAACCGGAUUAGAUACCCGGGUAGUCCCAGCCGUAAACGAUGCGCGUUAGGUGUAUCGGUGACCACGAGUCACCGAGGUGCCGAAGAGAAAUCGUGAAACGUGCCGCCUGGGAAGUACGGUCGCAAGGCUGAAACUUAAAGGAAUUGGCGGGGGAGCACCACAACAGGUGGAGCCUGCGGUUUAAUCGGACUCAACGCCGGAAAUCUCACCGGAUAAGACAGCUGGAUGAUAGUCGGGCUGAAGACUCUACUUGACUAGCUGAGAGGAGGUGCAUGGCCA